GUGGCUAUAGCUCAGUGGUACAGUGCAUGCUUAGCAUGCAUGAGGUCCUGGGUUCAAUCCCCAGUACCUCCA
This 72-nucleotide transfer RNA is filed under the name Camelus bactrianus (Bactrian camel). It matches the Rfam family "tRNA". From Rfam's summary of the family: Transfer RNA (tRNA) molecules are approximately 80 nucleotides in length. The record is from Rfam by way of RNAcentral. RNAcentral also lists the same sequence under 2 other names. Lineage: Eukaryota; Metazoa; Chordata; Mammalia; Artiodactyla; Camelidae.